AGAGAGAGACAUGCGCGCAUAUCAAUAAGCGGAGGAAAAGAAACUAACUAGGAUUCCCUCAGUAACGGCGAGUGAAGCGGGAAGAGCUCAAAUUUGAAAUCUUCAAGGUUCUACCUUGACGAAUUGUAGUUUAAAGAAGUGUUUUCUGUUGGAGUUUUGGUAAAAGUUCUUUGGAAUAGGACAUCAUAGAGGGUGAGAAUCCCGUAUUUGACCAUUAUUUUCAGCUGUGUGAUACACUUUCAAAGAGUCGGAUUGUUUGGGAAUGCAGUCCAAAAUGGGUGGUAAAUUUCAUCUAAAGCUAAAUAUUGGCGAGAGACCGAUAGCGAACAAGUACCGUGAGGGAAAGAUGAAAAGAACUUUGAAAAGAGAGUUAGACAGUACGUGAAAUUGUCAAAAGGGAAGCGUUUGACAUCAGUGUUGUUUUUCUGAAAAUCAAUUAAAGAACUGUUUAUGCUAAGCUGUUUAGACUUUAUCAGCUAACUGUUUAGUUUUGAGCUUUUCUUUAAUGCACUUUUCAGUUAACAAGUCAACAUCAAUUUCUUUUGCUGUAAAAAAGCUUGAGGAAGGUGGCUUGAGAUUCGUCUUAAGUGUUUAUAGCCUCUUGCCUAUGCAGUCGGAGAGAUUGAGGUCUGCAGCGUAGAUCCUUCGGGGCUAAAUGCAUUUGUGCUAAGUUAUAGCAUUUUAUAGACAACUUGUUGACUAUGAUUUGUCUUGUAGCUUACUCGCUUAUGUUAUUUUACCUACGCUUAGGAUGUUGAUGUGAUACUGCGAGCA
Molecule: ribosomal RNA, 774 nt
Filed under: uncultured Neocallimastigales
Lineage: Eukaryota; Fungi; Neocallimastigomycota; Neocallimastigomycetes; Neocallimastigales
Description: partial large subunit ribosomal RNA
Rfam family: Eukaryotic large subunit ribosomal RNA
Source: RNAcentral